UACGGAGGGUGCGAGCGUUGUCCGGAAUCAUUGGGCGUAAAGGGCGCGUAGGUGGCCCGGUCAGUUCGUGGUGAAAGCGCGGGGCUCAACCCCGCGUCGGCCAUGGAUACUGCUGGGCUCGAGCACUGUAGAGGCAGGCGGAAUUCCGGGUGUAGCGGUGGAAUGCGUAGAGAUCCGGAAGAACACCGGUGGCGAAGGCGGCCUGCUGGGCAGUAGCUGACACUGAGGCGCGACAGCGUGGGGAGCAAACAGG
Molecule: ribosomal RNA, 253 nt
Filed under: uncultured Gemmatimonas sp.
Lineage: Bacteria; Pseudomonadati; Gemmatimonadota; Gemmatimonadia; Gemmatimonadales; Gemmatimonadaceae
Description: partial 16S ribosomal RNA
Rfam family: Bacterial small subunit ribosomal RNA
Source: RNAcentral